RNAcentral lists this small RNA (682 nucleotides) under Pan troglodytes (chimpanzee). RNAcentral's name for it is "retained intron". Lineage: Eukaryota; Metazoa; Chordata; Mammalia; Primates; Hominidae. The record is from RNAcentral.
CACCACUUGUACUUUGGCAUGUCGACAUUUGCACAUAAAAGAAAAAGGCAAGCCACUUAUGCUGAACCCAAGAACAAACAAGGGAAUGGCAUUUACUUUACAAGAACGACAAAUGCUUGGUCUUCAAGGACUUCUACCUCCCAAAAUAGAGACACAAGAUAUUCAAGCCUUACGAUUUCAUAGAAACUUGAAGAAAAUGACUAGCCCUUUGGAAAAAUAUAUCUACAUAAUGGGAAUACAAGAAAGAAAUGAGAAAUUGUUUUAUAGAAUACUGCAAGAUGACAUUGAGAGUUUAAUGCCAAUUGUAUAUACACCGACGGUUGGUCUUGCCUGCUCCCAGUAUGGACACAUCUUUAGAAGACCUAAGUAAGGCUUGUUUAAAAAAAAGCUUGUAAAUGAUUAUUGAAUAAGGAAAAUAUCAUUCCAUAACACCCAUUACAUUUCUAUUUUAUGUUUCUUAGCCAAAUCACAUUUCCCACCUCAGAAAAACGUAAUUUUGAUUAAAAGAGAUUAACAAAAUCCCAACAUAUUCAUAACUUUUAUCUUUGUAAAAAUAGCAUAAUUCAUUUCUAAUCUUCUUUAAAUUAUUGUGAUUGUUAGAGGAAUUACAUACAUUCUUCUGGAACCUGCUCCCCCACCAAAAAAAGUCUUAAUUCUGGUGGGAGAUUAUCCAGAAUUAUCA